CGUAGUUCGACUCGUGGCUACGAGACGACGCUGGCGGCGUGCUUAACACAUGCAAGUCGUACGAUGACCCGGCUCUUCGGAGCUGGUGAUUAGUGGCGAACGGGUGAGUAACACGUGGGUGACCUGCCCUGCACUCUGGGAUAAGCCCGGGAAACUGGGUCUAAUACUGGAUACGACCAGUGGCCGCAUGGUCUGCUGGUGGAAAGCCCUUCGGGGUGGUGUGGGAUGGGCCCGCGGCCUAUCAGCUUGUUGGUGGGGUGAUGGCCUACCAAGGCGACGACGGGUAGCCGGCCUGAGAGGGUGUCCGGCCACACUGGGACUGAGACACGGCCCAGACUCCUACGGGAGGCAGCAGUGGGGAAUCUUGCACAAUGGGCGAAAGCCUGAUGCAGCGACGCCGCGUGGGGGAUGACGGCCUUCGGGUUGUAAACCUCUUUCGGCAGGGAACAAGCCUGGGGGUUUUCUUCUGGGUGAGGGUACCUGCGGAAGAAGCACCGGCUAACUACGUG
Molecule: ribosomal RNA, 509 nt
Filed under: uncultured Actinomycetales bacterium
Lineage: Bacteria; Bacillati; Actinomycetota; Actinomycetes; Actinomycetales
Description: bacterial SSU rRNA
Rfam family: Bacterial small subunit ribosomal RNA
Source: RNAcentral